GAUGAACGCUGGCGGCGUGCCUAAUACAUGCCAGUCGAGCGAACGGACGAGAAGCUUGCUUCUCUGAUGUUAGCGGCGGACGGGUGAGUAACACGUGGAUAACCUACCUAUAAGACUGGGAUAACUUCGGGAAACCGGAGCUAAUACCGGAUAAUAUUUUGAACCGCAUGGUUCAAAAGUGAAAGACGGUCUUGCUGUCACUUAUAGAUGGAUCCGCGCUGCAUUAUCUAGUUGGUAAGGUAACGGCUUACCAAGGCAACGAUGCAUAGCCGACCUGAGAGGGUGAUCGGCCACAAGGGAACUGAGACACGGUCCAGACUCCUACGGGAGGCAGCAGUAGGGAAUCUUCCGGAAUGGGCGAAAGCCUGACGGAGCAACGCCGCGUGAGUGAUGAAGGUCUUCGGAUCGUAAAACUCUGUUAUUAGGGAAGAACAUAUGUGUAAGUAACUGUGCACAUCUUGACGGUACCUAAUCAGAAAGCCACGGCUAACUACGUG
RNAcentral lists this ribosomal RNA (497 nucleotides) under uncultured bacterium. RNAcentral describes it as "partial 16S ribosomal RNA". It matches the Rfam family "Bacterial small subunit ribosomal RNA", at positions 28 to 507 of the family's 1533-position model. The record is from RNAcentral.